UACGUAGGGGGCAAGCGUUGUCCGGAAUCAUUGGGCGUAAAGAGCGUGUAGGCGGUCCGAUAAGUCCGCUCUGAAAGCCCGGGGCUCAACCCCGGGAGGCGGGCGGAUACUGUCGGGCUAGAGUCCGGAAGAGGCAAGUGGAAUUCCCGGUGUAGCGGUGAAAUGCGCAGAUAUCGGGAAGAACACCCGUGGCGAAGGCGGUUCUCUGGGACGGUACUGACGCUGAGACGCGAAAGCGUGGGUAGCAAACAGG
RNAcentral lists this ribosomal RNA (253 nucleotides) under uncultured bacterium. Its description in RNAcentral is "partial 16S ribosomal RNA". It matches the Rfam family "Bacterial small subunit ribosomal RNA", at positions 524 to 776 of the family's 1533-position model. The record is from RNAcentral.